Molecule: non-coding RNA, 2668 nt
Organism: Oryza sativa Japonica Group (Japanese rice)
Lineage: Eukaryota; Viridiplantae; Streptophyta; Magnoliopsida; Poales; Poaceae
Source: RefSeq, a predicted model, not a curated record
GGUGAGAAAAACAUUAUAUAUGCCGGUUUUUACUAUUCCGGCACUAUAACCUAUAGCGCCGUAUCCUUUAUUUGUUUUUUAGUAGUGUUUCUCUCUUAUUCUCUCUCUAUUUUUAAGCUAUGCUAUGUGGUAGAUUGAGAGUGUUUUAAAAACAUCGCACGUCAGCUUAACUGGGUAUUUUAUAUUGAUAAUAUUUUUUGAACAAAGAAUCCUAUAUAUCUAUACAAUUGAUCCCCACUAAGUAUCAAUGAUGCUAUUUUCCAGCCCUAUGGUGAAGCCACGUCACUUCAAUUAAUUUUAGCCAUCAGAUUAGAUUUGUCUGUCCGAGAUUUCUUCUUUCUCCACCAUGCACAACCUAUAUGGCCUUUUCUGUAUCCCAAUGAACAUUGCUGCGAGUAGGACAGCCCAGCAAUUUCCCACCAGGCCAUUUAUUCCUCAGUUUCUCUCCCCUACCAACCGAGGAAGCCGAGGAGCUUCGCGUUAGGCCAGUCACAAUGGGUGUUUCAUUUGAGUGUCAUGCGCAUUUAAUACAGUGACAAGUCAGCAAAAGAGCAAUAUUUGCAUGAAAUGGGUAGGAGAGAGAGUAAACUCGUUUCACCAUGGUGACACGAGAUAGCGCCGUUUCCCAGGUCACUGAAACGGGGUGAAACAGCAUUGAGAGUUCAUCGUUUCACCUCCGGGAUCCCGUGCGAGCGCUGCUCUUCGCCAUCUUCGCGCGCAUCGCCGGAUUCUUCCCGCGCGAGUCCCCCAUCUUCCCGCGCAGCACCUCCAUGUUCCCGCCCCCAAAGCACUGGCUCGAAGCUUUUUUCCCCAAUCUCACCUGCAACCCUAGCGCCAGACUCAGUCCCCAUCGCCCCGUCCGUCCCAUACCCUAGCGCAAGAACCACGAGCGGAGAUUGCGGAGCUGGAUCCACAAGUAGGUGGUGAAUCCUGUCCAUCUGCCGCCGUCCGCCGUCCAGCAGCCAUGGAUCCACAAGGAGGUGGUGGAUCCCGUCUGAGCGCCGCCGGCAGAGGAGGGAAUAAGCGUGGGGGCAAGCAGCUGGGCCUGAAGAGGUCGUCGGCGCCUGCUCCAUCACCGGCAACAGCUCAGCCACCGCUGCCUGCAAGUUCCCCUCCUGAAGCUCCAUCGCCGGCAACAGUUCAGCCGCCUACUCCAUCGUCAAGUCCUGCUGUUGCUGCCCCCAGUUCAUCCCCUGCUGUACCGAUGUCAACCAUGCCCCCAUGGCCACCGCAAGGAGCAGGAUGGGGCUCUGUACCCCCCAAUUUUGCUUUUCUGCAAGGAAACCAACAAGGCCCAAGUUCAUGGUUGUAUCCUACAGAAGGCUUCGUAAAUUUUCUCCAACAGAACUGUCUGCCGCAGCCACAAGAAGGUGAAAAUUUUCACCUUGUUGGUCAGACUACCAACACAAUGUCUACUCCACCACCAACACCCCAAGCUGCAGCUAACAAUACAGUCCAAAUUGAUAUUCAUGAAGAUGCAAUCAAUGAUGCAAGUGCUAAAAAGAGAAGUUUGAGAUAUUGGACUCAUGAUGAGGAAGAGAGAUUGGCUAGUGCUUGGUUGAAUGCUUCUAAAGAUCCCAUUCAUGGGAAUGAAAAGAAAGGUGAUACGUUUUGGAAAGAGGUUACUGAUGAGUUCAACAGAAAAGGGAAUGGGAAGCGUACAAGGGAAAUAAAUCAAUUGAAGGUUCAUUGGUCACGCCUCAAAUCAUCGAUUGGAGAAUUCAAUGAUUACUGGACUAAGGUAACUCAAAUGAAUACAAGCGGAUAUGACGAUGACAUGCUGGAGAAGGAGGCACAACAGAUGUAUGCAAAUACAUUUGGAAAGCCUUUUGCACUUGUGCAUUGGUGGAAGAUACUGAGAAAAGAGCCCAAGUGGUGUGCAAUGAUUGAGAAGGACAAAAACAAGGCUGAAGUGGUUGAUAUUCCAGAUGAACAAAAGCGUCCCAUUGGUAGAGAAGCAGCACAAGCCGAGCGCAAUGGAAAACGCAAGAAGGACAGUAUGUCAGAAGGAAUUGUCAUCCUAGGGGACAAUAUUGAAAAAAUUAUCAAAGUGACGCAAGAUCGGAAGCUGGAGCGUGAGAAGGUCACUGAAGCACAGAUUCACAUUUCAAACGUAAAUUUGAAGGCAGCAGAACAGCAAAAAGAAGCAAAGAUGUUUGAGGUAUACAAUUCCCUGCUCACUCAAGAUACAAGUAACAUGUCUGAAGAACAGAAGGCUCGCCGAGACAAGGCAUUACAAAAGCUGGAGGAAAAGUUAUUUGCUGACUAAGGUUCCAAUCUAUUUACAGGUUCCCUAAAAAAAAAUCUAUUUGCAGGUUCCAGUCUGUUGUCUUCACAAUGGUGAAAGAAUCAAUGAAAUCUAUGGGUGCAUCGUCAAUUUGCCUCCAGUUACCUGCUUGUCAUCGUCAUUUGUAGCUUAGUUCUGUCAUAUUUCACCUCGAGUUAACAUCUAUUCAGUUAUCUAAACUUUGCUAUGUAGUGAACUUGGUUGAAUGGUCAUUUAAAUUUAUCAAGUGAACAAUCGUACCUAUCUGUGCUGAAUGCAUGUAUUUUGUUUUGUGUUCAAGUGGCUACACACGUUUGUGUUACAUACGAUCCCACUAUGUGGCUGGAAUUAAAUGCCUUGAAUUUGCAUUGGAAACGCUAGAGUGAAACACAGCAUUGAGAA